GUGGGGAAUUUUGGACAAUGGGCGCAAGCCUGAUCCAGCAAUGCCGCGUGCAGGAAGAAGGCCUUCGGGUUGUAAACUGCUUUUGUACGGGAAGAAACACUCCCUCGUGAGGGAGCUUGACGGUACCGUAAGAAUAAGGAUCGGCUAACUCCGUGCCAGCAGCCGCGGUAAUACGGAGGAUCCAAGCGUUAUCCGGAAUCAUUGGGUUUAAAGGGUCCGUAGGCGGUUUAAUAAGUCAGUGGUGAAAGCCCAUCGCUCAACGAUGGAACGGCCAUUGAUACUGUUAGACUUGAAUUACAAGGAAGUAACUAGAAUAUGUAGUGUAGCGGUGAAAUGCUUAGAUAUUACAUGGAAUACCAAUUGCGAAGGCAGGUUACUACUUGUGGAUUGACGCUGAUGGACGAAAGCGUGGGGAGCGAACAGGAUUAGAAACCCCAGUAGUCC
This 444-nucleotide ribosomal RNA is filed under the name uncultured bacterium. RNAcentral's name for it is "partial 16S ribosomal RNA". It matches the Rfam family "Bacterial small subunit ribosomal RNA", at positions 354 to 796 of the family's 1533-position model. The record is from RNAcentral.